GUCACCACUCGUUUCGGCGGUACAUAUACUAAAAAUGGAACGAUACAGAGAAGAUUAGCAUGGCCCCUGCACAAAAUCGUGGAGCGUUCCAUAUUUUC
Schistosoma mattheei is the source of this 98-nucleotide non-coding RNA. Lineage: Eukaryota; Metazoa; Platyhelminthes; Trematoda; Strigeidida; Schistosomatidae. The record is from Rfam.